UCUUUGAUAGUAUAAUGGUCAGUACGCCCGCUUGUCACGCGGGAGACCUGGGUUCAAUUCCCAGUCAGAGAG
This is a transfer RNA of Plicaturopsis crispa FD-325 SS-3, 72 nucleotides long. It matches the Rfam family "tRNA". Rfam says of the family: Transfer RNA (tRNA) molecules are approximately 80 nucleotides in length. Their secondary structure includes four short double-helical elements and three loops (D, anti-codon, and T loops). Further hydrogen bonds mediate the characteristic L-shaped molecular structure. tRNAs have two regions of fundamental functional importance: the anti-codon, which is responsible for specific mRNA codon recognition, and the 3' end, to which the tRNAs corresponding amino acid is attached (by aminoacyl-tRNA synthetases). tRNAs cope with the degeneracy of the genetic code in two manners: having more than one tRNA (with a specific anti-codon) for a particular amino acid; and 'wobble' base-pairing, i.e. permitting non-standard base-pairing at the 3rd anti-codon position. The record is from Rfam. Lineage: Eukaryota; Fungi; Basidiomycota; Agaricomycetes; Amylocorticiales; Amylocorticiaceae.